RNAcentral lists this ribosomal RNA (470 nucleotides) under uncultured soil bacterium. RNAcentral's name for it is "bacterial SSU rRNA". It matches the Rfam family "Bacterial small subunit ribosomal RNA", at positions 26 to 518 of the family's 1533-position model. The record is from RNAcentral.
AGGAUGAACGCUGGCGGCGUGCUUAACACAUGCAAGUCGAACGGUGACAGAGAGCUUGCUCUCUUGAUCAGUGGCGAACGGGUGAGUAACACGUGAGCAAUCUGCCCCUGACUCUGGGAUAAGCGCUGGAAACGGCGUCUAAUACCGGAUACGAGCUGCGAAGGCAUCUUCAGCAGUUGGAAAGAACUUCGGUCAGGGAUGAGCUCGCGGCCUAUCAGCUAGUUGGUGAGGUAAUGGCUCACCAAGGCGUCGACGGGUAGUCGGCCUGAGAGGGUGACCGGCCACACUGGGACUGAGACACGGCCCAGACUCCUACGGGAGGCAGCAGUGGGGAAUAUUGCACAAUGGGCGCAAGCCUGAUGCAGCAACGCCGCGUGAGGACGACGGCCUUCGGUGUAAACCUCUUUAGCAGGAAGAAGCGAAGUGACGGUACUGCAGAAAAGCACGGCUAACUACGUGCCAGCAGCCGA